UAACAAUGAUACCAGAUGAUCGGAUAGGUCGAAUAGUCGCAAUCGCAACACUCAGAACCUACGUGAAUAUGGUUACUGUAUAAUUCAUCCUUUUGACCUCUGUGUUUAGGAUGACUCAGGGUUAAACUGUCAACCCUGAUUAGAUCAUCCGAAUCGUGCUCAACUCAAACAGUCCUAUGACUCCUCACAAAGACUAUCCUGGCCAAGAUUUUGCUAAAUUGAAACACGACUGUACACAGCUCCUGAACUGGAGUGGUCAAUCCCAUCUUGACACACGCACCAACAAGUCAAGUACUUGACUACACCCAGCAGCCUUCCAUCACUGAAUUAAAAAUUCAGGUAGUCCAGUGCCUAAGUGCAGUGAGUUGCUUGCAAGUCACCGUGGCGGUCUC
Molecule: long non-coding RNA, 392 nt
Filed under: Elaeis guineensis (African oil palm)
Lineage: Eukaryota; Viridiplantae; Streptophyta; Magnoliopsida; Arecales; Arecaceae
Description: long non-coding RNA (EGUI_LNC064390)
Source: RNAcentral